CGGGCCAUCGUCUAGUGGUUAGGACAUUAAACUUUCACUUUAAGAACGGGGGUUCGAUUCCCCCUGGCUCGA
RNAcentral lists this transfer RNA (72 nucleotides) under Urostyla grandis. Its description in RNAcentral is "tRNA-Glu". It matches the Rfam family "tRNA". From Rfam's summary of the family: Transfer RNA (tRNA) molecules are approximately 80 nucleotides in length. Their secondary structure includes four short double-helical elements and three loops (D, anti-codon, and T loops). Further hydrogen bonds mediate the characteristic L-shaped molecular structure. tRNAs have two regions of fundamental functional importance: the anti-codon, which is responsible for specific mRNA codon recognition, and the 3' end, to which the tRNAs corresponding amino acid is attached (by aminoacyl-tRNA synthetases). tRNAs cope with the degeneracy of the genetic code in two manners: having more than one tRNA (with a specific anti-codon) for a particular amino acid; and 'wobble' base-pairing, i.e. permitting non-standard base-pairing at the 3rd anti-codon position. The record is from RNAcentral. Lineage: Eukaryota; Ciliophora; Spirotrichea; Urostylida; Urostylidae.